CCGCACCACAGGCAUCUGCAGAUCACCUCUCUUCAUCCUCCUUUUCCCCUCUGCAAGAUGGUCAGAAGAAAAGCUCCAUCCAAGAGUUUCCCAUUCUCUGAGUUACCUUUUUUAUUUGUUUUUCAUUUCAUUAUUGGAUUGUCUCUCUCUCUCAGCUUCCUGAUGGAUCCCUGGCUGUUCGCUCGGGCUGCUUGGAGCCCCUCGGCCACUGCUCUACUCUCUGCUAGCACAGAGAGAUGCUGCAUGAUUUCUCGCUCAAGCACUGAGGAAAUCAGCUCUGAAGACAAGAAGGGAGCAGAGGAGUCCAGACUUGCUCUUACAUUUGGUGCAGAACAUCCCAUAUCCCAUCGAGGGGCUGGACACGCGCUGUCUCCCUGUGCUGGUCAUGAACUGGAGUGUGCCACGCAUCCGCACCCAAGGAUGAUUUCCAUACUGAACAUCGCUAAGUUCCACCCUAUUUGCUGAGAUUGGCCUGACCCUGAACAACGUAACAUGUUUCAGAAUACAAAAGCUCCCAAGUUAUCGUCCAUCAGCUGAACCACAGGUUUGGUCUGAUCUGCUGCUGAUGCUGCCAGUGACGUGUGCUAGUCUGAAACCCAAAAGAAUGUGGGAUCCGAUUGCAACCACUCUGGAAUACCAAGCUGGGUUUGGGGGUCCAUGUCUGGCCUGUAUCACAGGGGUUGUGCAAUGAAGUGUUCAUAUACAUCCAUGUCUCCAACAUCUUUGAAAAAAUAUGGAAGCAACAGGAGGGUGCACAGGCUGUUUCCUUUACUACCCUCCAUAAACUUUAAUGAAGGCCUCCCAAUAGAAAUGAAUAGAUGAUACCCUCUGUUCCAAGCUUGGUGUGAGAGCCAGCCAAGAGGCUCUCCUGGCUCUCCUCCUACCUUUCUUUAGUCCAAUAUCGUAGUAAUGGCACAAAGCCUUUCUCCCUGCUGUGAACAGGGAUUAUUGUAGCCAAGGCUGCAUCAUACGCCAUUGUUGCAAGUAUCAGGGACAACCAGUUAAGAACAAUUACCUCCUCCAUCUCUGGGCUCUUCCCCUUGUGCAUUUUGGCAAGUUGCACCAAGAAAAUCUGCAUUUCCUAAGAAAAAAGCCUUGUUGUCCGCUGCUCUUUCAACUGGGUUUGAGUGCCAGAGGUACAUUCGCCUGCCUGCUCGGCCUGGGGCCUGCCCUAUGGGAGCAAGGAGUCAGAGAGCUGACGGGAUUUUCCACCUAGCUGCUGUCCCUGCCCUCGUACUUCAUUGGAAUGGGAGCCAGAAGGAGGUGGCCAGAGGCAGCAGUGCCAAGAUGCAACUCCCAGGCAUUACCAGUGCUGCUAUUUAUAAUUUCCCCUCUCUGUGCCAUUGAUGAGGUAAUAGGAUAGCUGUUUUGCUAGGCAAGCUGUAUUUCUUUUUACCACCAAUAUCUCCUGCCUUGUCAUUGUUUCCUUGUCUUAUUAGGAAGCCCCUUUCCCUCCCCCCCCCCCCGAAAUGCCUCACUAACUGCUGUAAAUAAGAAGAGUGAGGCACAUACUGGAGCAACUUAAAAUGUUUGCAGUGAAAACCAGUGUUACUGACCAGAGGUAUAUGGGCUGGGAACUGACCAUGACUGACCAUCGCUCUGAAGAACCAUAUCCAGUGAUGGCAGCACUUGCCACUUGAUGGCUCCUCCUUCAUGCGUUGCUGGUGGCCUGAUCCAGAGGGUGCUGCCCCUUAUGCUGACUUCUAUGGGGAUCUCCAUGUGCUUUAUACAGGGCACAUCACCACUUUGCUGGACCAAGGUUGGAGCACUGGGCGCACUGUAGGACAGAGCCUGCAGGUAGACCUGUAUAGUCGUCAGCUUCUCUGGCAGCAAUAAGGACCAAAACAUCCAAUAACAGUCUGGAAGGGAACGAGAUCCUAUCUACAGGAGCUUGCCUGGAGAGCUGAAUGGAGAAUUACAGCCCUCUGAUACCGUUUACAGAAGGCUGGUGCAAGAGCUUUAUAGCUGAUUAACAUCCCCUACAGUUUCACGGGCUUUGCCACAACAAUAUGCUGGAGGUGUGUGUCCUGACCAGUGCUUUGGGUUAAAAAUCUUAAGAACAGAGCUGCAAACAGUGAGCCCGUGGGUAUUCAAAAGAGGACAAGGAGAGGGGGCAGCCCUUCCGAAAAAUGAGGUCACUGGAAAUGUGCCCUGUGCUCAGUUCAUGCAUGUUGCUGUCCUGAAGCUGUUCCAGUCUGGCACUCUGCCCAAAAUACUGCCUUCUCUUUCGAAAAGCAGAACUAUAAAUUACAGGUGGGCUUGGACCAGAAGAUGGGAUGUCAAAAAUCACAAAUGUUUCUGGAAACAUCCGAUUCAUGUCCAAGAUGUGCUGCUAUUCUCUGCUUUGCUGUAUCUCAGGACUGAACAUGUGAGGAUGAGCUCAGCUUCCCCCAGAGUUCAAGCUGCGUGGAUCUGGAGACCUCUCUCGUUUCACCUGUACAACUGCUACUUUAGCUAGAAUCUAAUCCACGUUUAUUUGACAGGCUGUAUUAAAGCUGCCAGUUACAAGCCUA
Strigops habroptila (Kakapo) is the source of this 2513-nucleotide long non-coding RNA. RefSeq lists it as uncharacterized. The transcript is spliced from 3 exons. NCBI's taxonomy places the organism in Eukaryota, Metazoa, Chordata, Aves, Psittaciformes, Psittacidae. The record is from RefSeq and is a predicted model, not a curated record.